ACGGGGGCCCGCACAAGCGGCGAGCAUGUGGAUUAAUUCGAUGCAACGCGAAGAACCUUACCUGGGCUUGACAUACACCAGAUCGGCGCAGAGAUGCGUUUUUCCCUUGUGGUUGGUGUACAGGUGGUGCAUGGUUGUCGUCAGCUCGUGUCGUGAGAUGUUGGGUUAAGUCCCGCAACGAGCGCAACCCUUGUCUUAUGUUGCCAGCACGUGAUGGUGGGGACUCAUGAGAGACUGCCGGGGUUAACUCGGAGGAAGGUGGGGAUGACGUCAAAUCAUCAUGCCCCUUAUGUCCAGGGCUUCACACAUGCUACAAUGGUCGGUACAACGCGUGUGCGACACUGUGAGGUGAAGCUAAUCGCUCUAAAGCCGGUCGUAGUUCGGAUUGGGGUCUGCAACUCGACCCCAUGAAGUCGGAGUCGCUAGUAAUCGCAGAUCAGCAACGCUGCGGUGAAUACGUUCCCGGGCCUU
This 471-nucleotide ribosomal RNA is filed under the name uncultured Corynebacterium sp. RNAcentral describes it as "bacterial SSU rRNA". It matches the Rfam family "Bacterial small subunit ribosomal RNA", at positions 913 to 1382 of the family's 1533-position model. The record is from RNAcentral. Lineage: Bacteria; Bacillati; Actinomycetota; Actinomycetes; Mycobacteriales; Corynebacteriaceae.